GCCUUCAUGGUGUAGUGGUCAGCACAAUAGGCGCGUAUUCCAGAGGCCCGUGGUUCGAGUCUCGGCGAAGGCG
Non-coding RNA from Stegodyphus mimosarum, 73 nucleotides. The record is from Rfam. Lineage: Eukaryota; Metazoa; Arthropoda; Arachnida; Araneae; Eresidae.